GGAUGUGAGGGCGAUCUGGCUGCGACAUCUGUCACCCCAUUGAUCAACAGGGUUGAUUUGGCUGAUCUGGCUGGCUAGGCGGGUGUCCCCUUCCUUUGUCACCGCUCCAUGUGCGUCCCUCCCAAAGCUGCAAGCUCGGUCUAAGAGGAUGACCUUCCUCGAUAGAGGAAGACCGUUCUUCGGUCAAGGGUAUAGCAGUAGCUGUGCUCCCCUGCUAGAACCCCCAAACAAGCUCUCAAGAACCUUCUGACAUGAGAGCUUCUCAGCAAAGGAAUGGUCUACAUCGGGAACUAUUGAGUUCUCCGUGUCU
This 310-nucleotide small nuclear RNA is filed under the name Prolemur simus (greater bamboo lemur). RNAcentral describes it as "7SK RNA (ENSPSMG00000001443.1)". It matches the Rfam family "7SK RNA". Rfam says of the family: 7SK was discovered as an abundant small nuclear RNA in the mid-70s but a possible function has only recently been suggested. Two independent studies have found that 7SK RNA binds the CDK9/cyclin T complex (known as elongation factor P-TEFb). P-TEFb activates transcription by phosphorylating the C-terminal domain of RNA polymerase II. Lineage: Eukaryota; Metazoa; Chordata; Mammalia; Primates; Lemuridae. The record is from Rfam by way of RNAcentral.